CUGAGAUGGGAUUUUGUUCCUGUCUUCCAGUCCCCAACUCUGCAGCCCUCCAAAUCUAUUCCUUACUCACAAUACCUCCUUAGAAAACCUGGCUUUCCUUCUCUCAUUUCUUCUGAAGCCCCUUCUCCAUCUGGUUAAAGUGAAGAGUUCAGAUGGUUCAUGAUGGAGUUAGACGCUUUGCCCCAGGAUCAUGGAGUCAGCCUGGUGCCUUUCCACGAAUAACAAGCUCAGCAACUUGGCACAGCACAUGUAUGGAGGCCAUCAACCUCGACUCCAGGCACAAGCAUUUGGAAAUUGAUUCAACACUUUUGAUGCCAGUCAGCUGUGAAAUUGAAAUCGCAAACAGAAAUACUACAUUUUCAUCCACAGCAGAAACUGAGAAAGUCCGUUUUUAUGGCAGGCAAAGAACCAGCGCGAACUUGUCAACAGGGUCAUUCACUGUUUAGGCUUGAAGGCAGUUUGGGACUGGCGUCUUGAAAAGGAGGAAGGAAAGAGGCCCCGAAAUUUUUUGGCUUUCUCUCACAGUCUGACCAACAAGUGUUCUCCAGGGUUCAAAGAUGGAGAGCCUUUGAGUUUUUCAAUGCAACCUGACUUUCUUUCUUCUUUCUUCGAAUGGCUUGCGGUUGUGCUGAAGAAGUUUUCAUUCUUGCAAGGGGCGGA
Molecule: long non-coding RNA, 660 nt
Filed under: Mus spicilegus (steppe mouse)
Lineage: Eukaryota; Metazoa; Chordata; Mammalia; Rodentia; Muridae
Description: lncRNA (ENSMSIG00000012845.1)
Source: RNAcentral